CCCUGCCCAUACCACCCUGAACAUGCCCGAUCUCGUCUGAUCUCAGAAGCUAAGCAGGGUCGGGCCUGGUUAGUACUUGGAUGGGAUACCACCCUACAAGGACUCCAAUUUGCAGUAAGGC
RNAcentral lists this ribosomal RNA (121 nucleotides) under Peromyscus maniculatus bairdii (prairie deer mouse). Lineage: Eukaryota; Metazoa; Chordata; Mammalia; Rodentia; Cricetidae. The record is from RNAcentral.